GACUAAGCCAUGCAAGUUGAAUGGUUCUCGUAACCAUAGCGUACUGCUCAGUAACACGUAGAUAACCUACCCUAAGGUUGGGGAUAAUCCCGGGAAACUGGGCAUAAUCCCCAAUAGAUAAGCUGUACUGGAAUGUCUUCUUAUUCAAACCUCCGGGGCCUUAGGAUGGGUCUGCGGCGGAUUAUGGUAGUAGGUGGGGUAACGGCCCACCUAGCCUUUGAUCCGUACCGGACAUGAGAGUGUGUGCCGGGAGAUGGCCACUGAGACAAGGGGCCAGGCCCUACGGGGUGCAGCAGGCGCGAAAACUCUACAAUGCCCGAAAGGGUGAUAGGGGAAUCCCGAGUGCUUCCUUAGCCGGAAGCUUUUCCCGAGCGUAAUGUUCUCGGGGAAUAAGGGGAGGGCAAGGCUGGUGCCAGCCGCCGCGGUAAAACCAGCUCCCGAGUGGUCAGGAUGAUUAUUGGGCCUAAAGCGUCCGUAGCCGGUCGUGUAAGUCGUUGGUGAAAGGCCGGGUCUUAAGCCCGAACCUGCUAGCGAUACUGCGCGACUUGGGACCGGAAGAGGCAAAUGGUACGUUGAGGGUAGGGGUGAAAUCCUGUAAUCCCCAACGGACCACCGGUGGCGAAGGCGAUUUGCUGGGACGGAUCCGACGGUGAGGGACGAAACCCAGGGGAGCGAGCGGGAUUAGAUACCCCGGUAGUCCUGGGUGUAAACGAUGCGCACUAGGUGUUGGCGAAGCUACGAGCUCCGUCGGUGCCGAAGCGAAGGCGUUAAGUGCGCCGCCUGGGGAGUACGGUCGCAAGACUGAAACUUAAAGGAAUUGACGGGGGAGCACCACCAGGGGAGGAGCCUGCGGUUCAAUUGGACUCAACGCCGGAAAACUUACCGGAGUCGACAGCAUGAUGAUGGCCAGGCUGAAGACCUUGCUUGAAGCGCUGAGAGGAGGUGCAUGGCCGUCGCCAGCUCGUACCGUGAGGCGUCCUCUUAAGUGAGGCAACGAGCGAGACCCUCAUCCACAGUUGCCAGCACAAGAUGGUAUCUUGGUGGGCACACUGCGGAGACUGCCCGCGAAAAGUGGGAGGAAGGUGAGGGCCACGGCAGGUCAGUAUGCCCCGAAAACUCCGGGCCACACGCGGGCUACAAUGGCUGGGACAGAAGGCCCCGACCUUGAAAGAGGAAGGAAAUCCUUAAACCCAGUCUCAGUUGGGAUUGAGGGCUGCAACCCGCCCUCAUGAACGUGGAUUCCCUAGUAAUCGCGUGUCAUCUAUCGCGCGAUGAAUACGUCCCUGCUCCUUGUACACACCGCCCGUCGUUGCACUCGAGUUGGGUUUGCCUGAGGCUGCAUUUUCCUUCGGGAAGGCGUAGACGAAGGUGAGUUCGAUAAGAGGGCAAAAGUCGUAACAAGGUA
This 1405-nucleotide ribosomal RNA is filed under the name metagenome. RNAcentral's name for it is "bacterial SSU rRNA". It matches the Rfam family "Archaeal small subunit ribosomal RNA". The record is from RNAcentral.